This 2925-nucleotide ribosomal RNA is filed under the name Escherichia coli. RNAcentral describes it as "23S ribosomal RNA". It matches the Rfam family "Bacterial large subunit ribosomal RNA". Lineage: Bacteria; Pseudomonadati; Pseudomonadota; Gammaproteobacteria; Enterobacterales; Enterobacteriaceae. The record is from RNAcentral.
GGGUUGUGAGGUUAAGCGACUAAGCGUACACGGUGGAUGCCCUGGCAGUCAGAGGCGAUGAAGGACGUGCUAAUCUGCGAUAAGCGUCGGUAAGGUGAUAUGAACCGUUAUAACCGGCGAUUUCCGAAUGGGGAAACCCAGUGUGUUUCGACACACUAUCAUUAACUGAAUCCAUAGGUUAAUGAGGCGAACCGGGGGAACUGAAACAUCUAAGUACCCCGAGGAAAAGAAAUCAACCGAGAUUCCCCCAGUAGCGGCGAGCGAACGGGGAGCAGCCCAGAGCCUGAAUCAGUGUGUGUGUUAGUGGAAGCGUCUGGAAAGGCGCGCGAUACAGGGUGACAGCCCCGUACACAAAAAUGCACAUGCUGUGAGCUCGAUGAGUAGGGCGGGACACGUGGUAUCCUGUCUGAAUAUGGGGGGACCAUCCUCCAAGGCUAAAUACUCCUGACUGACCGAUAGUGAACCAGUACCGUGAGGGAAAGGCGAAAAGAACCCCGGCGAGGGGAGUGAAAAAGAACCUGAAACCGUGUACGUACAAGCAGUGGGAGCACGCUUCGGCGUGUGACUGCGUACCUUUUGUAUAAUGGGUCAGCGACUUAUAUUCUGUAGCAAGGUUAACCGAAUAGGGGAGCCGAAGGGAAACCGAGUCUUAACUGGGCGUUAAGUUGCAGGGUAUAGACCCGAAACCCGGUGAUCUAGCCAUGGGCAGGUUGAAGGUUGGGUAACACUAACUGGAGGACCGAACCGACUAAUGUUGAAAAAUUAGCGGAUGACUUGUGGCUGGGGGUGAAAGGCCAAUCAAACCGGGAGAUAGCUGGUUCUCCCCGAAAGCUAUUUAGGUAGCGCCUCGUGAAUUCAUCUCCGGGGGUAGAGCACUGUUUCGGCAAGGGGGUCAUCCCGACUUACCAACCCGAUGCAAACUGCGAAUACCGGAGAAUGUUAUCACGGGAGACACACGGCGGGUGCUAACGUCCGUCGUGAAGAGGGAAACAACCCAGACCGCCAGCUAAGGUCCCAAAGUCAUGGUUAAGUGGGAAACGAUGUGGGAAGGCCCAGACAGCCAGGAUGUUGGCUUAGAAGCAGCCAUCAUUUAAAGAAAGCGUAAUAGCUCACUGGUCGAGUCGGCCUGCGCGGAAGAUGUAACGGGGCUAAACCAUGCACCGAAGCUGCGGCAGCGACGCUUAUGCGUUGUUGGGUAGGGGAGCGUUCUGUAAGCCUGUGAAGGUGUGCUGUGAGGCAUGCUGGAGGUAUCAGAAGUGCGAAUGCUGACAUAAGUAACGAUAAAGCGGGUGAAAAGCCCGCUCGCCGGAAGACCAAGGGUUCCUGUCCAACGUUAAUCGGGGCAGGGUGAGUCGACCCCUAAGGCGAGGCCGAAAGGCGUAGUCGAUGGGAAACAGGUUAAUAUUCCUGUACUUGGUGUUACUGCGAAGGGGGGACGGAGAAGGCUAUGUUGGCCGGGCGACGGUUGUCCCGGUUUAAGCGUGUAGGCUGGUUUUCCAGGCAAAUCCGGAAAAUCAAGGCUGAGGCGUGAUGACGAGGCACUACGGUGCUGAAGCAACAAAUGCCCUGCUUCCAGGAAAAGCCUCUAAGCAUCAGGUAACAUCAAAUCGUACCCCAAACCGACACAGGUGGUCAGGUAGAGAAUACCAAGGCGCUUGAGAGAACUCGGGUGAAGGAACUAGGCAAAAUGGUGCCGUAACUUCGGGAGAAGGCACGCUGAUAUGUAGGUGAAGCGACUUGCUCGUGGAGCUGAAAUCAGUCGAAGAUACCAGCUGGCUGCAACUGUUUAUUAAAAACACAGCACUGUGCAAACACGAAAGUGGACGUAUACGGUGUGACGCCUGCCCGGUGCCGGAAGGUUAAUUGAUGGGGUUAGCGCAAGCGAAGCUCUUGAUCGAAGCCCCGGUAAACGGCGGCCGUAACUAUAACGGUCCUAAGGUAGCGAAAUUCCUUGUCGGGUAAGUUCCGACCUGCACGAAUGGCGUAAUGAUGGCCAGGCUGUCUCCACCCGAGACUCAGUGAAAUUGAACUCGCUGUGAAGAUGCAGUGUACCCGCGGCAAGACGGAAAGACCCCGUGAACCUUUACUAUAGCUUGACACUGAACAUUGAGCCUUGAUGUGUAGGAUAGGUGGGAGGCUUUGAAGUGUGGACGCCAGUCUGCAUGGAGCCGACCUUGAAAUACCACCCUUUAAUGUUUGAUGUUCUAACGUUGACCCGUAAUCCGGGUUGCGGACAGUGUCUGGUGGGUAGUUUGACUGGGGCGGUCUCCUCCUAAAGAGUAACGGAGGAGCACGAAGGUUGGCUAAUCCUGGUCGGACAUCAGGAGGUUAGUGCAAUGGCAUAAGCCAGCUUGACUGCGAGCGUGACGGCGCGAGCAGGUGCGAAAGCAGGUCAUAGUGAUCCGGUGGUUCUGAAUGGAAGGGCCAUCGCUCAACGGAUAAAAGGUACUCCGGGGAUAACAGGCUGAUACCGCCCAAGAGUUCAUAUCGACGGCGGUGUUUGGCACCUCGAUGUCGGCUCAUCACAUCCUGGGGCUGAAGUAGGUCCCAAGGGUAUGGCUGUUCGCCAUUUAAAGUGGUACGCGAGCUGGGUUUAGAACGUCGUGAGACAGUUCGGUCCCUAUCUGCCGUGGGCGCUGGAGAACUGAGGGGGGCUGCUCCUAGUACGAGAGGACCGGAGUGGACGCAUCACUGGUGUUCGGGUUGUCAUGCCAAUGGCACUGCCCGGUAGCUAAAUGCGGAAGAGAUAAGUGCUGAAAGCAUCUAAGCACGAAACUUGCCCCGAGAUGAGUUCUCCCUGACCCUUUAAGGGUCCUGAAGGAACGUUGAAGACGACGACGUUGAUAGGCCGGGUGUGUAAGCGCAGCGAUGCGUUGAGCUAACCGGUACUAAUGAACCGUGAGGCUUAACCUUACAACGCCGAAG